Molecule: unclassified non-coding RNA, 366 nt
Filed under: Hevea brasiliensis (rubber tree)
Lineage: Eukaryota; Viridiplantae; Streptophyta; Magnoliopsida; Malpighiales; Euphorbiaceae
Source: RNAcentral
UAUAUUUGGCCCUGACUUUACCCUUUUCUCGAUCCAAAAUCUUCAUACAUUUCGAUCAGAAAUUCUUCUGAUCUCUAUCUCUGUUCCCCAAUUAGAUCCUUUCUUCUUUCGAUUCGCUUUCUCCUCUUUCUCCUCUAUCUAUUGAUCCUAAAGGCCUCGGAUUUGUUUCUAGGGUUAGGGUUUUCAGGUCCUCGAUAUUUUUGCUAUUUAGAAUUGGGAUUUUUGUUCGAUCUCUAAAUCUAGGUCUGUAUAUUUUUUUUGUGGGGUCGAUUCAUCUGGGUCAGUCGAAAUUCUUUCAUUUUUUAAGUUUUGAAAAAUUUUCAUUUAUGUCGAUUUUUUUUUCGAUUCAAUUUGUCUACACGGAGU